CAUGCAGUCGAGCGGUAACAGGGGGAGCUUGCUCCCCGCUGACGAGCGGCGGACGGGUGAGUAAUGCUUAGGAAACUGCCCAGUAGUGGGGGAUAGCCCGGGGAAACCCGGAUUAAUACCGCGUACGCCCUUCGGGGGAAAGCAGGGGCUCUUCGGACCUUGCGCUAUUGGAUGUGCCUAAGUCGGAUUAACUAGUUGGUGGGGUAAAGGCCUACCAAGG
Molecule: ribosomal RNA, 220 nt
Filed under: Marinobacter sp.
Lineage: Bacteria; Pseudomonadati; Pseudomonadota; Gammaproteobacteria; Pseudomonadales; Marinobacteraceae
Description: partial 16S ribosomal RNA
Rfam family: Bacterial small subunit ribosomal RNA
Source: RNAcentral